AGCUCCAAGAGUGUAUAUUAAAGUUGUUGCGGUUAAAAAGCUCGUAGUUGAAUUUCUGAAAAUAAUCUUCUGAUUGAUUUAACCGUCAUGAUGAAAAAUUAUUAUCAUACUUGGUAGGUGGAAACAUUUACCUUGAUUACUUUGAAAAAAUUAGAGUGUUCAAAGCAAGAUUCACAUCUGAAUAAUACAGCAUGGGAUAAUAAAAUAUGACAUUAGUUAAAAUUUGUUGGUUUCUUUGGCUAAUGUAAUGAUUAAAAGGGACAGUUGGGGUAAUUUAUAUUGGUCGGGGAGGGGUGAAAUCCUAUGAUCCUUCCAAGAUAAACUAGUGCGAAAGCAUUUUACCAGGAUGUUUUCA
This 355-nucleotide ribosomal RNA is filed under the name uncultured eukaryote. RNAcentral describes it as "SSU rRNA". It matches the Rfam family "Eukaryotic small subunit ribosomal RNA", at positions 587 to 972 of the family's 1831-position model. The record is from RNAcentral.